Mya arenaria is the source of this 328-nucleotide long non-coding RNA. RefSeq lists it as uncharacterized. The transcript has 3 exons. NCBI's taxonomy places the organism in Eukaryota, Metazoa, Mollusca, Bivalvia, Myida, Myidae. The record is from RefSeq and is a predicted model, not a curated record.
UCAAGCUUCAACACGGCUGCUGUAAAUCAGAAACUCGGAACUCGGUGGACCAUGGCCUAUUUCAGAUAAACAGCUAUUGGAACUGUGAUCCCCAAAAUGGUUAACCUGCAAAGAAUGGCUGUGGGCAUCCCUGCUCAGACUAUAAAAACACUGAUUUGACUGAUGACGUGGCUUGCAUAUAAAACUCAAGAGAGAACACAAUGGAUGGGGUUUCUCGAUGGGUUACACCAACAAUUGCCAGAGUAAAACGAGUAGCUACCUAUCGGAAUGCGGCAUUCCAGGUUUAGGUUAAACAAUCAGCAUUGACUGUUUCUUGUUUGAUUGACGU